AAAGGGAGACCUAAUUCGGGUAUGGGAUGAAAAAAAAGUAGUCCCAACCAAGAAUCAAUCCCAAAAGGUCGGAGCGAGGCGAAAUUGGCUUUCAAACUAGGUUCUGGGUUCAAACAAGACCUGAAUCAGGAACAAGGGCUAUUAGCUCAGGUGGUUAGAGCGCACCCCUGAUAAGGGUGAGGUCCCUGGUUCGAGUCCAGGAUGGCCCACCUGCACAGGUGGCACAGAAAAGAAAAGAAGCGAGGAAUCAGCACCUUAUCUUAUCUAUAUAUAAGAGAGAAUGCUGGCUCUGAGUACAGAGUCCAGAGGAACCUUGAAAACUGCAUAGAGCUAGGUGAAAAAGCCAAAAAAGAAGACCGCAAG
Molecule: transfer RNA, 363 nt
Filed under: uncultured Microcystis sp.
Lineage: Bacteria; Bacillati; Cyanobacteriota; Cyanophyceae; Chroococcales; Microcystaceae
Description: partial 16S-23S ribosomal RNA intergenic spacer
Rfam family: tRNA (bases 136-209)
Source: RNAcentral